GUGUAUAAAAUUUGUCUAUACUCACAGUGAGCAUAGGUGUAUAGAAUUUUAUUGCGGAUCAUACGCGGUGUAGAUAUAGAGUUAUACAAAAUUCGACGAACCACUAUUAUUCGGAAAUUGUACCAAAGGAGAAACGUACACACGUAACUAACUGAACUCCGAAGCAAACUAGAGGGAGGUGAAAUGCUCUAUAGCCUGGCGAUAGACCGAAAGAAAGUGAGACGAAACAACGCGUUCAAGAGUUUCUAUAGUUCCGAUACACCGUUAAAAGCCCGCUGCCGAGCGGAUCGCUUUAAACAUUGCGGUCCCGUCGAGUAAAUUAUUUCGCCGGGAGGUGCGGCGGCUUCCCGUAAAACGUAAAACGGAGAUACCACACCCCUGAAACCAUGAUAAUACAGUGCACUGUGUACACAAAUUCGGUUAGACGUGUUCAUCGUCGUAGAAAUUCGGAACAUAAAAAAAAAAAAACGAUACAAUUACUCAGCCGGUGAAAAUUUGCGACAAGUUUUUCCGGUAAGAUUGACGGAUCGCGUCUGGAAAACAAUUUUUGGCUGAAAACGUUUUUUAAAAAAAAUAUUGGGAAUUCAAUUGCAAGGGUUUGCAGCUUGGGGAAAAUUGCUGAGAUUAUUGCACACGUAUCUUUGAACAGCGAGGGCGGAUCACGGCCAUGUUGAAAAUUUUCUCUAUACCUAUCAUUGCGUAAAACUUAAAAGAGGCGCGAAUUUAACACUAUCCAGACAUCCACGAUCCGCACGUCCACCGAGCGAUGGCUGACCGAACGGCUCUGUUAUUUUCAUCGUUCACCCCAAAAAUUCGUGCGCAGUAUUUCGAUAUUACCUCAUAAAAAAACGAAAAAAAAAAAAAAAAAACAGAGAUUCAAACCGAGAAGAUCCCGGGCUGAAAAAAAGCCGCAAGUUUCGAAGGUUUCGAAAUCUUCUCGAGAUUAAAAUUCCUCUCAACCUUCAAUUGAGAUGGCAACGAUAUCGCGUCCACCCCUCGUACACGCGUCGCGCAAACGGAGUCGAAGGAAACGAGAUCGUGAACAAAGUUUUCGACUCAUCCGUCUCCGGACCGCAUAGUAUCUACCCAGGUACCUACUGCACCUAUUAGACUUUUUUACGGUCUUGGAGACGAGCAUGAUGGGAUUACAAGUCGGCUUCGGACGAGUUGCAGCAACAGAUGAGGUGUAGGCGCGCGGGUCUCGCCGCUCGCAACAGGAGUAUAAAAUUACUAUAUCGUGUAAACAGCAUCGCGUCGGCACGUGUGAUGGCCGCACAAGGCACCCUGGGUGGCCCGGACGGCCGACGGAGAUCCGUCGAAACGACGAACGUCAUCCCAUCACGACGUAACGACCGCUCUCUGAUCUUCUCAUCCCCUCGGAAUUAACGCUACUCCACGUCUGCGAUCCCGUCAGACUUUGUGAAAAAAAGUCGAGUUCUUUUCCGUUCGACGAUUUUUCUGAUCUCGGAUGUGUCAUAGAUAUUCUCCUGAAAAAUUUCAGGGACGAUUUAUUGAAGUAAUAAUUUUCCUGGAGCAUACGUCCUCGGGGAAGUAGGAAACGGUUUAGCCCCAAUUACGAGGGUCCUGUGGGGCAUCAGGAGCAACGGUAGGAGUUUUGUUUUAUUUUAUUUUUUCCUUGCCAUCGUAAGCUUCGACUUCGGGGUAGCGCACAGGCAGCGUGCUGCAGGCCAGUUUAAGGAUGAGACACUCGACGGUGUCACACAAAAUGUCACGGGUGCUCAAAACACGGGGUACCAACAAAAGAGUAACUCUAAACAGCAGCCCCCCCUUAUCUCAUCGCGUAGCCUCGAGACCACAACUCGACCCUUGACGCAAACCCUUAACUGGGUGCAGUUUUUUUUUUUUUUUUUUUCAGGACCGAUGCACGAGGUGGUCUUCGCAUAAAUCAACCACCUCUCAACUCGUCCGUCCACCUUUGCUCUUCUGGUCACGGAAAAUAUUUGUCAUACUUCGAAUAAAAAAGUAAAAAAAUCCACGUUGCU
Molecule: long non-coding RNA, 2003 nt
Organism: Athalia rosae (coleseed sawfly)
Lineage: Eukaryota; Metazoa; Arthropoda; Insecta; Hymenoptera; Athaliidae
Exons: 3
Source: RefSeq, a predicted model, not a curated record